This is a long non-coding RNA of Glycine soja, 582 nucleotides long. RefSeq lists it as uncharacterized. The record is from RefSeq and is a predicted model, not a curated record. The transcript has 3 exons. Lineage: Eukaryota; Viridiplantae; Streptophyta; Magnoliopsida; Fabales; Fabaceae.
GAUGAUAUAACUCAUCAACUGGCCAUGAUCAUAAGGCACAAUGAGAAUCUGAAGAGACAAGAGAAGAAUGGAUCUCCUGCACAUAUUAUAUCUGAGUUUGUGCAGUUAUUGCUUUUCCAAGUAGCAAAAUACUUUGAUAAUGAGUUCAAAUGGUUUAUUGCAUUUGAGAUUUGACAAAAUUUUAGUAGAAACAACUCUAAGUUCUUAUGCUCAUCAUAUUUUACAUGCCAGUUAUUGUUUUCCAUACUGUGUCACUUGAAUUAGCAAUGCCAACUCUUCCAACAUAGGAUUUCAGCUAUUGAAGAAGCAUGGGUGGAAAGAAGGGACUGGUCUUGGAGUCUCUGAGCAGUGGACAAAGUGGAAGCCUUGAAGCACUACAAAUUUAGCUUAGCAUUUGAAAAUUCUAAUGAGGAAGAUUAUGUAAUUGAAAAAUUAUUCCAAUCCAUUGUUGUUGGUAUGCAUAUAUAUUUUAUCUCUAUUCUCUUGCUUGCAUUUACUCUAUAUACAACAUUAUUAAUGUAACACUAGAUGUUCGUGGGCUUCAAGAACACUUGCAUCCAAUCUGAUUUUUUUUACAUCUAA